RNAcentral lists this long non-coding RNA (3215 nucleotides) under Equus caballus (horse). RNAcentral describes it as "lncRNA (ENSECAG00000050006.1)". Lineage: Eukaryota; Metazoa; Chordata; Mammalia; Perissodactyla; Equidae. The record is from RNAcentral.
UACCUUCAUCCAGGUGGUGUCACAGAAGGCUGAAUGGGAAGCCAGGACACUGGGAUGUCCACCCAACCUGGGAGAGGAAAAGGCCUCCUCCCCUCCUUGCUGGGGUGUCAAGAGGAGGCCUAGUGCCAAGCUGGAACUUUCACCAUCACCCAGCAAUAAUAAGUCAGAGCAUCAGUGGAAGCUACGGAGCAAUAGUAAUGAGGCACUCCUGCCGCAUCCCAGAGGGGUAUCAGCUGACGCCGUAAAUAAUCUGGACUUCCACCCGCCACCCAACCGUAAUGAGGCAGCACUCUCCUUCCCCAACCAGCGCACUGGCAGAGGAGUCUUCCUAAAACAGAAAAUUUCAUUAAGAUCCAGAAUCUCAUAAUACCCAAAACUUCCAGGUUUCAAUCAAAACCCAUUCAUCAUUCCAGGAACCAGGAAAGUCUCCACAUGAAGGAGAAAAGACAAUCAACCAACGUCAACACCAAGAUGACAGAUAAAUUAGAAUCAUCCGACAAGGAUUUUAAAGCAGCCUUCAUAAAAAUACUUCAACAAGCAAUUACAAAUAUGCCUGAAACAAAUGAAAAAAACACAAAGUCUCAGCAAAGAAAUAGAAGAUAUAAAAAUUGUAACAUGCAGGCUGCACCCCAUACUAACCGAAUUAAAAUCGCUGAGAGUACCCAGCCUUCGGUAAUUUUUUUUAACUCCCGAGUGAUUCCAAUGAGUAGCCAAGUUUGCCAGCCAGUGCUCCAACUCCAUUAUUCUUACCAGAAAACACAGCAAAGACACAGAUCCAGGCCCCAUGUGACUUCAACAAGCCUGGGUUUCUGUAUUUGUAUUAGUUUCCAGGUGAUUCUGAUAGAUGACAAAGUUUGAGAAGAGCUGCAUUAUCCAAUCAAAGGAAUUUGCCAGUGAUUUCCCUCACUUGAGGAUGCUGCAAAAUUCUUGACCUGAAGGAGGAAAGAGCUGCAUUUAAGUGACCUUGAAGCAACAGGAAAGAGCAUGGGAAUGAGAUAAUAUAACUGGUCCUCAGAAAUGGAGCUGGGAAAAGCAAGGAAGAGGUGUGGAAGUUGACAGGAAGAAGAGCUGCACUGAGGGGGAGUGGAAUGCCCCACCACCGUUAGACAGGAAGGGCAUAGGCGAGAGCCCAAAGAGAACAUUCUCCAGGAAGGAAGGGCCUCCCCAAGCUCCUCUCCUGCCAGGCCUCCCGCUCUCCCACUUACUCACUAUCGCCUCAUCCCCCUAUCUAGAGAUCAUCAACACGCCCCACCAGAGGGGUCUUCUCAGGUGGCCUGUUGCCCAUUGGCCCACCGCAGCAGACCAGGCUCUGGUCACAGGCAUAACCUUGACAGGAGGGGCUAAGACCACCCCCUUUAAUGGACCAUUUGCCCAUUCAAUCCAACCAAGGAAGAUGUGCCUCAAUUUCCUCAUCAGCAAAAUGGGAACAAAAACACCUACCCUCACAGGGCCACUGUGAAGAUUAAAUUAGUUAACAUGUAAAAUGCUGAACACAACGCAUAGACCAUAGACUGCGGUGGGCACUUGAUACACAUUAGCUCCUGGUGUUUUGAAAGACACACAGCACAGUGGUUAAGAGUAGAUGUCCCAAGCCAAAAUGCCUGGCUUUGACUCAGCAAAUCUACCGCUUACUAAAUGUGGACUGUAAGCAAGUUACUAUGCCUCAGUUUCCCCAUCUGUAAAACUAGGAUAGUGAGAGUACCUUAAUUCACCCGGCUUUUGGGAGGACUAAUCACGUAAGAGAAAGAGCCUGGCAUAGUGCCUGGAACAUAGUAAGUGCUUUUUAAAUAAUAGCGAUUAUUCUGUUAGCUUUCUGUGAUGUGGAUGGCACGAGGCAGGUACGUGGGGAGUCCCCUUGGCCCUUGAGAAGCUUGUAGCCUAGAUCACGGACAAGAAAUGCACACGCAGGACGAGCAGGAAGAGCAGCACAGAAUACGGGACACACGUUAAUUCUGCAAGCGUGCAAAUAGCAUUUCUCUCUAAGGUGCUCACGCACAGGCUAACGGAGCUCAGAAUGUUCCGAAUACAGGGUGCACCGGGUGGCAAGUGCCCUCUUCUAGGCCACCCCUACGUUGGGAGUCCCAGGUCUCAUUCAACUCUCAAGGUUGAUCAUUUCAACAGUUCUCCUGGAAAGCACUGUAGCUUCAAGAAUAAACGGGGUUAGCCACCGUCCAUUCUCAUGGAUGGACCAAAAGGGUAUAAGACUCACAAGUCUCGUUAAAGUGCUACAGAAAAUCAACCGGAUCACACACAGGAGCUAGAGGAGCAGGCAUUCUACAGGAUGUCAACACUUUGGGCUCAGAACUCCCUGGAAGGACCAUUUUAAGUAACUUUUAAAGCCAGCGGCUCCAGUGCUUGAAAGGAAACACGAUGCUGAAUAUAAAAAUUGAAAAGGGAAAUGUAAGCAUCACAAGGUAUUAAUUAAUCCCAUGAUGCAAGAUUUCUGCUGCUUAGAUUACCUCUGCUUCAAGAAUUAUUUAUCCAAGAAAUUCAGAGAACGACAGGGAAGACAGACAACAUACUGUACUUAACAAGAUUCUGUGAUUUUUAAUCCUAACGAGGAUUAAAGGGCUGGAACAAAUGUGAUGGGGGCAGGCACCAGAAGCUAGUUAACCCCUUUUUAUUCCUUCCCAACAAGGCUGACAGCUAUUUUAAGCCCACAAAGUAGUCACGCUGUCUGAUUUGCAACUUUGGGAAUCAGACAGCUAGAUUUUUUUAAGCAGGCAUGUAAAAUGAAGAUAAUACACUACUGGGCCUCUGAUUUAUAAAAGAACAGAGCGUACGACAAUUCCAGAGAUUAAAACCAUGCACAGAUGAAACAAAUUGCAAUUUGUAAGACUAAAUAACAACAAUAAGAACAGCAACGGACUCUGUGCCAGGCACUGUGCUCAGCAUUUGCAAAUAUCACUCGUUUACUCCCUCUCAUUAACCCUAAGAGGUAUGUGAUACUGGAUUUCCUCCUUUUACAGAUGAGGAUACUAAACGAGGGAUGUUAAGUAACUGGCACAAGGUCACACAGCAAGUGCGAGACAGAGCCGGGAUUCGAACCCAAACACAGUUGGCCUCCUGAAUCCUUGCUGUUACGCUGCCAACCAAAUUCAUGUCCUAAAAACUAUAAAAUAGCAAAUUAAAGGAAAUAAAACAAUGAAUGGGGGAAAGGCAUCAAUUCAUUAACCAGAACACAACUGGUUGAAAAUGUUUUUCACUAAUGACCA